Long non-coding RNA from Ictalurus punctatus (channel catfish), 1905 nucleotides. NCBI's taxonomy places the organism in Eukaryota, Metazoa, Chordata, Actinopteri, Siluriformes, Ictaluridae. The record is from Ensembl.
GUAAGGGUAAGGUUAUGGUUACAAUUAUGCAAGUGUUAGUAUUUGGCUAGGGCUACUGUAAUGCAUUGGUUGUGGUUUGGCUAGGGUUACUAUUAUGCUAGUGUUAGGGUUGGCUACUGUAAUGCAUUGGUUGUGGUUUGGUUAGGGUUACUAUUAUGCUAGUGUUAGGGUUGGUCUACGGUUACUGUUGUGAUAGAGUUAUGGUUUGGCUACAGUUAAUAUAAUGCGAGUGUUAGUAUUUGGCUAGGGUUACUAUAAUGCGAGUGGUAGGGUGUGGCUAGGGCUCCUCUAAUUGGAGUGUUAAGGUUUUUCUAGGGUUACUAUUAGGCUAGUGGUAGGUUGGUCUAGGGUUACUAUUGUGCUAGUGUUAGGGUUUGGCUAGGGUUACUAUUAUGCUAGUGGUAGGGCUUGUCUAGGGUUACUAUUGUGCUAGAUUUAUGGUUUGGCUAGGCUUAUUAUAAUGCUAGUGUUAGGGUUGGUCUAGGGAUACUAUUAUACUAGCGUUAGGGUUCGGCUAUUGUUAUUAUAAUGCUAGUGUUAAGGUUGGGCUAGUGUUACUAUUGUGCUAGUGUAAAGGUAGGGCUAGGUUUAUUACUAUGCUAGUGUUAGGGUUUGGCUAGGGUUACUAUGAUGCGAGUGGUAGGGUGUGGCUAGGGUUCCUAUAAUGGGAGUGUUAAGGUUUGGUUAGGGUUACUAUUAGGCUAGUGGUAGGGUUGGUUUAGGGUUACUAUUGUGCUAGUGUUAGGGUUUGGUUAGGCUUACUAUAAUGCUAGUAUAAGGGUUGGGCUAGGGUUACUAUUGUGCUAGUGUAAAGGUAGGGCUAGGUUUACUAUUAUGCUAAGGUUAGGGUUGGGCUAGGGCUACUAUAAUGCGGGUGUUAGGGGUUGGCUAGGGUUACUACAAUAAGAGUGUUAGGUGUUGGGCUAGGUUUACUAUUAUGCUAGGGUUAGGGUUCGGUUAGGGUUACUAUUAUGCUAGUGUUAGGAUUUGGCUAGAGUUUCUAUUAUGCUAGUGUUAGGGUUUGGCUAGGGUUACUAUAAUUCUAGUGUUAGGGUUGGGCUAGGGUUACUAUUAUACUAGUGUUAUGGUUUGGCUAGGGUUACUAUUAUACUAGUGUUAGUGCUGAGUUAGGUUUACUAUUAUACUAUGGUUAGGGUUGGGGUAGGGUUCCUGUUGUUCUAGUGUCAGGGUUUGUUUAGGGUUAAUAUAAUACGAGUGUUGGGGUUUGGCUAGGGUUACUAUAAUGCGAGUGUUAGGGUUUGGCUUGGGUUACUAUUAUGCUAAUGUUAUGGUUGGGCAAGGGUUACUAUUAUGCUAGGGUUAGGGUUACGCUCGGUGUACUGUUAUACUAGUGUUUGGGUUUGGCUAGGGUUACUAUUAUGAUAGUGUUAGGGUUGGUCUUUGGUUACUAUUGUACUAUAGUUAAGGUUUGGCCAGGGUUACUAUAAUGUGAGUGUUAGGGUUUGGCCAGGGUUACUAUUAUGCUAGUGUUAGGGUCUGGCUAGGGUUACUAUAAUGCGAGUGGUAGGGUUUGGCUAGGGUUACUUAAUGCAAUCAAGCACAGUAAUAUCAUGGUCAGCAAACCAGUUACUCAUAGUUUUGGCACUGUGGACAGGUGCUAAGUCUUGCUGGAAAAGAAAAUCAGCAUCUCCUUAAAGCUUGUCCGCAGUUGGAAGGAUGAAGUGCUCUAAAGUCUCCUGGUAGAUAGCUGCAUUGACUCUUUACUUGAGAAAACCCAGUGGACCAACACCAGCAGAUAACAUGGCACCCCAAAUAAUCACUGACUGUGGAAACUUCUCACUGGACUUCGAUUCUGUGACUCUCCACUCUUCCUCCAGACUCUGGGACCUCGAUUUCCAAAUGAAAUGCAAAUUUACUUUCAUCUUCCCCACAAUUGUGUUUGUG